CCUACGGGUGGCUGCAGUGGGGAAUCUUGGACAAUGGGCGCAAGCCUGAUCCAGCCAUGCCGCGUGAGUGACGAAGGCCCUAGGGUCGUAAAGCUCUUUCGCCAGGGAUGAUAAUGACAGUACCUGGUAAAGAAACCCUGGCUAACUCCGUGCCAGCAGCCGCGGUAAUACGGAGGGGGUUAGCGUUGUUCGGAAUUACUGGGCGUAAAGCGCACGUAGGCGGAUUAGAAAGCUAGAGGUGAAAUCCCGGGGCUCAACCCCGGAACUGCCUUUAGAACUACUAGUCUAGAGUUCGAGAGAGGUGAGUGGAAUUCCAAGUGUAGAGGUGAAAUUCGUAGAUAUUUGGAGGAACACCAGUGGCGAAGGCGGCUCACUGGCUCGAUACUGACGCUGAGGUGCGAAAGUGUGGGGAGCAAACAGGAUUAGAUACCCUGG
Molecule: ribosomal RNA, 435 nt
Filed under: uncultured bacterium
Lineage: Bacteria
Description: bacterial SSU rRNA
Rfam family: Bacterial small subunit ribosomal RNA
Source: RNAcentral